CUUACUAAUAUACAACUUGAGUUACAUGAUUAACUUCAGGAAUACCUGAUCCUCGUUCCUUCUCGGAAGUAUAACUCAUGAAUCCUUUUAAUAGGGUAGAGUAUCAUUGUCUACAAGAUAUUACUCUCCUGGGGGCCCAUAUCUGAAGCCAUGAAUCCAAGAAAUUAUUGAAUGCCAUAUUUUGACUAACCAAUUUACACCUUACUAACUCAUGCAAU
Molecule: long non-coding RNA, 218 nt
Filed under: Lathyrus oleraceus (garden pea)
Lineage: Eukaryota; Viridiplantae; Streptophyta; Magnoliopsida; Fabales; Fabaceae
Description: Pisum sativum (pea) long non-coding RNA (PSAT_LNC017772)
Source: RNAcentral